GACGAACGCUGGCGGCGUGCCUAAUACAUGCAAGUAGAACGCUGAAGGAGGAGCUUGCUUCUCUGGAUGAGUUGCGAACGGGUGAGUAACGCGUAGGUAACCUGCCUGGUAGCGGGGGAUAACUAUUGGAAACGAUAGCUAAUACCGCAUAAUAUUGAUUAUUGCAUGAUAGUCAAUUAAAAGGUGCAAUUGCAUCACUACCAGAUGGACCUGCGUUGUAUUAGCUAGUUGGUGAGGUAACGGCUCACCAAGGCAACGAUACAUAGCCGACCUGAGAGGGUGAUCGGCCACACUGGGACUGAGACACGGCCCAGACUCCUACGGGAGGCAGCAGUAGGGAAUCUUCGGCAAUGGACGGAAGUCUGACCGAGCAACGCCGCGUGAGUGAAGAAGGUUUUCGGAUCGUAAAGCUCUGUUGUAAGAGAAGAACGAGUGUGAGAGUGGAAAGUUCACACUGAGACG
RNAcentral lists this ribosomal RNA (462 nucleotides) under Streptococcus sp. oral taxon 058. RNAcentral describes it as "bacterial SSU rRNA". It matches the Rfam family "Bacterial small subunit ribosomal RNA", at positions 28 to 474 of the family's 1533-position model. The record is from RNAcentral. Lineage: Bacteria; Bacillati; Bacillota; Bacilli; Lactobacillales; Streptococcaceae.